Molecule: ribosomal RNA, 380 nt
Filed under: uncultured eukaryote
Lineage: Eukaryota
Description: partial 18S ribosomal RNA
Rfam family: Eukaryotic small subunit ribosomal RNA
Source: RNAcentral
CAAUAGCGUAUAUUAAAGUUGUUGCAGUUAAAAAGCUCGUAGUUGGAUUUGUGGCGUACGGUGUGUUCCGGGCACUUGUUGUCUGAGUAACCUGCUGUUGCCAUCCUUGGGUGGAACCUGUGUGGCAUUAGGUUGUCGUGCAGGGGAUGCCCAUCAUUUACUGUGAAAAAAUUAGAGUGUUCAAAGCAGGCUUAUGCCGUUGAAUAUAUUAGCAUGGAAUAAUGAGAUAGGACUUUUUUGCUAUUUUGUUGGUUUGCGCAAGAAGGUAAUGAUUAAUAGGGACAGUUGGGGGUAUUCGUAUUCCAUUGUCAGAGGUGGAAUUCUUGGAUUUUUGGAAGACGAACUACUGCGAAAGCAUUUACCAAGGAUGUUUUCAUUAA